RNAcentral lists this ribosomal RNA (750 nucleotides) under Cladorhiza methanophila. RNAcentral describes it as "eukaryotic LSU rRNA". It matches the Rfam family "Eukaryotic large subunit ribosomal RNA", at positions 160 to 647 of the family's 3401-position model. The record is from RNAcentral. Lineage: Eukaryota; Metazoa; Porifera; Demospongiae; Poecilosclerida; Cladorhizidae.
CUUUGCCCGGACGGGUGCCGUCGAAGUCGACCUGGAAAGGCGCGUCGGAGAGGGUGAGAGCCCCGUGCGCGACGCCGCCCGGCCGGGCUGCCGCUGUCUUCGGAGAGUCGGGUUGUUUGGGAAUGCAGCCCAAAGUGGGUGGUAAACUCCAUCUAAAGCUAAAUACCGGCACGAGACCGAUAGCGAACAAGUACCGUGAGGGAAAGGUGAAAAGUACUUUGAAAAGAGAGUCAAAAAGACCGCGAAACCGUUAGGAGGGAAACGAAUGCAGCUGAAGCGGCUCCCCGUCAGGCUCAGGAGGAGGCGCGCGGGUUCCCGGAGUGCGGGCGGAGGCCUGAAGAGGCUCCGGUUCGUCUUCGGGUGCGGGCCCGCCGUCCACUCUGCACUUCUGCGGGGAGCCGGCCAACGGCAGUUGCCCCCGGCUCUUACGAGGCGCUUCGGGGGAGGUGGCCCUGCGCUCCGGCGCGGGGAGCGUACAGCCCCGGCGCCCGGCAGUCCGGGCGAAUUUCGAUCUCGGAAAAAGAUGGCGACUGAGGAGAGACGUUGCGGUCCCUCGCACGUCGCGGCGCGGGCCUUUCUCGUUUCCCACCUCUCGGGGCGGGUUUCGGAAGGGCUGGGCCCCUCUCGUCGGGUUGGCGGCCGAGGCGGCCACUGCUCGUCAGUGGCCGUCGACGGUGAUCGCGUCGAUUCCGGAGGGAGGUCGGUCACACCUCGCGCCGCGGUCGUUGGCGUCCGAAUGGCUGUAUCCGA